AGCUCCCAGGUGCAUGAAGCAGGGACAUCCAAGAGGAUGAUGGCAGCUCACUUCUUGCUGCAGUUCCUCCUCUUCGGGACUCUACUCGUCCCUGUGUACCUGCAGAUGGAAGGAUGUGAUUUUCUCCAGGAUGCAGUCAAGGGCAAUUUCUCAGUGACUGUGACACCUGAGGAGUAUGUGGCCAACACAACCUACCAGGUUACAAUAAGAGAUGACGGAAACAGCACCACCAUCAGAAAUGUGACCAUGUAUUUACUUCAAGCCUUGUCCUCUGAAAAUACCACUGCAGGAGAAUGGAAUGUAGUAGAAAAACUAAACUGCAGUAAUGUUGCGACAGCAAUGCUAAAUACCACUCAGGAAGAAGCAGCAGCAAACUGGACAUCUCCAAGCAGUAACAUAUCUUCCGUGGAAAUAAGGGCAUAUAUCAUCUAUGAAAACAAUAUCACUGAGUUCAAGACGGCGAUUCUGCAGGAAGAAGAGUGGUCAGGCACUGGAACGGGCUGCCCAGAGAGGUGGUGCAAUCAUCAUCCUUGGAGCUGUUUGAGGAAAGGGCAGUUCCACGAACAGAUCCAACCACAGCCUCGACAACCCCUGACUCCGUCUCCGCAGUCCAGAGCAGCUGCUUCUUCAUCGCCGUCACUCAGCUGCUGAUGCUCCUCACUACAAGCAAACUGCUCUCCUAGGAGAUGGGGAGAGGAGAUGACCCAGCUGUGGUGCUCCUCUCCUCACCCACGGCACAGGUGGGAGGGCAGGCAGCUGAUCUACUCAGGAAAAUCACUCACUUCUUAUGCGUAUCAAGAUGAUAACUGCACUUCUACAUUAGAUUAUAAGGGUCUAUGGCCACAGAGCUGAUCUCCCCUUACUCCCCUCAACCAGGGCCAGCACACACAGCAAGAUUAGCAAGUCAGAGAUCACUCUGGUCAGAACAGCUGGAGAAGGUGAUUUAGGAGCAGACCCCUUCUAACCAGGGGCACCGGAUGGGUUAAUCCUUUCCUCAACACCUGGGGUCCUGUGAAGCACAAAAAGAAAAGCAUGAAAAUGUUCAAGAGAGGGGAAAGGCCCCUCCCCAUCCCAGUACUGGUGUGUGCUGAGGAGCUGAAGGAGAGGUCUGUGAGCCACAGCCAGGGCAGAGCUAUACUGUGUCCUGCAAAGCUCCCUUGGUUUGGUUCUGGCUCUCUGGAAUGGUGGAGUGGGUGGGUUUUUUUCCUCCUUUUUUUGUUUGUUUGGGUUUUUUUUUGUUUUUAAUCAGCAGCAGUUCCUGCUGUGGGAUGAGAUUGGAUGGGCCCCUGAAUGUCUUGAUUUUAUUAUUAUUGUUUGUAUUUUUAUACGGAUGGAGUUUAUGAAGGAAAUUUCAAACUUCUGGAAAGUAAUUACUAUUAUUAUUAUUUUUUUUUUCUGAAGCGAAUCUAAAUAAACCAAAGAAUGAAAGC
Long non-coding RNA from Gallus gallus (chicken), 1430 nucleotides. The record is from Ensembl. NCBI's taxonomy places the organism in Eukaryota, Metazoa, Chordata, Aves, Galliformes, Phasianidae.